CCUACGGGAGGCAGCAGUGAGGAAUAUUGGUCAAUGGACGAGAGUCUGAACCAGCCAAGUAGCGUGCAGGAUGACUGCCCUAUGGGUUGUAAACUUCUUUUAUAAAGGAAUAACACGAUGCACGUGUGCCUUUUUGCAUGUACUUUACGAAUAAGGACCGGCUAACUCCGUGCCAGCAGCCGCGGUAAUACGGAGAGUCCGAGCGUUAUCCGGAUUUAUUGGGGUUAAAGGGAGCGUAGAUGGGUUGUUAAGUCAGUUGUGAAAUUUUGCGGCUCAACCGUAAAAUUGCAAUUGAUACUGGCAGUCUUGAGUACAGAUGAGGUAGGCGGAAUUCGUGGUGUAGCGGUGAAAUGCUUAGAUAUCACGAAGAACCCCGAUUGCGAAGGCAGCUUACUAAACUGUGACUGACAUUGAUGCUCGAAGGUGUGGGUAUCAAACAGGAUUAGAUACCCUAGUAGUC
This 460-nucleotide ribosomal RNA is filed under the name uncultured bacterium. RNAcentral's name for it is "partial 16S ribosomal RNA". It matches the Rfam family "Bacterial small subunit ribosomal RNA", at positions 338 to 795 of the family's 1533-position model. The record is from RNAcentral.